This 468-nucleotide ribosomal RNA is filed under the name uncultured bacterium. RNAcentral's name for it is "partial 16S ribosomal RNA". It matches the Rfam family "Bacterial small subunit ribosomal RNA", at positions 28 to 507 of the family's 1533-position model. The record is from RNAcentral.
GACGAACGCUGGCGGCGGGCUUAACACAUGCAAGUCGAACGGAAAGGCCCUGCUUUUGUGGGGUGCGCGAGUGGCGAACGGGUGAGUAACACGUGAGUAACCUGCCCUUGACUUUGGGGUAACUUCAGGAAACUGGGGCUAAUACCGGAUAGGAGCGCCUCCUGCAUGGUGGGGGUUGGAAAGUUUCGGCGGUUGGGGAUAGACGCGCGGCUUAUCAGCGUGUUGGUGGGGGAGUGGCUUACCAAGGCUUGGACGGGUAGACGGCCUGGGAGCGGGACCGGCCACAUUGCGCCUGCGAUACGGCCCAGACUCCUACGGGGCGCAGCAGUGGGGAAUAUUGCACAGCGGGCGGGAGUCUGUUGCAGCAGCGCCGCGUGCGGGAUGUCGGCCUUCGGGUGGUAAACCGCUUUCGCCUGUGACGAAGCGUGAGUGACGGUAAUGGGUAAAGAAGCACCGGCUAACUCCGUG